Molecule: ribosomal RNA, 274 nt
Filed under: uncultured bacterium
Lineage: Bacteria
Description: partial 16S ribosomal RNA
Rfam family: Bacterial small subunit ribosomal RNA
Source: RNAcentral
CUACGGAGGGUGCAAGCGUUAUUCGGAAUCACUGGGCGUAAAGGACGCGUAGGCGGGUUGGCACGUCAGAUGUGAAAUCCUACAGCUUAACUGUAGAACUGCAUUUGAAACUGCUAACCUAGAGUAUGGGAGGGGGAGAUGGAAUUAGUGGUGUAGGGGUAAAAUCCGUAGAUAUCACUAGGAAUACCGAAAGCGAAGGCGAUCUCCUGGAACAUAACUGACGCUAAGGCGUGAAAGCGUGGGGAGCAAACAGGAUUAGAUACCCUAGUAGUCC